Molecule: long non-coding RNA, 5644 nt
Organism: Columba livia (rock pigeon)
Lineage: Eukaryota; Metazoa; Chordata; Aves; Columbiformes; Columbidae
Exons: 3
Source: RefSeq, a predicted model, not a curated record
CGCGCUGCCAACCGGCGCUCGCGCCUGCCGCUCCUGCUGUGGCUGUUGGUCUAACAGCCGCCCAGCCAACGGCCGCUGGGGCGGCGGGGCGGGCAGGCUGGGCUGGGGCGACGUGGCCGGUCUGCGGGACAGCGCUCGGCACCCAGCACAGGCUCGCCAGGCUGCUCCGCGGCCACCCCAUCGGCAGCCUCUUCCGCUCUCCCCCUGUCCUCCCGCGGCCCGCACCGUACCGCGCCGGGCGAAGGCCGCCCUGUGCAGUGGGUGACCGUGACCCGCCACAGCCCGGCCCCAGCGGGGCUUUGAUCCAGAGUUUUGUCACUUCAGGGGACUGUGAUAAAUAAGUGAUGGUCUUUAAUGUUAUCAGAGUGCUGAUUAUGUGGUUGUAGAGGUAUUACUAUGUGGCUGGGUAGAUGCUGAGCUGUAAAUUUGGAAGCUGCUAAAAUAAAAUCGCUGAAGUAGCUUUUGACAGGGCGUAGCCUCAGCUGGCAGCUCGUCUUGCCAGUGUCUGGGUUUGUUCACGCAGAUGCUUCAAAAAGUGCCUGUGCCUGUUAACUGGCCGGCCUCUGGGGACAGUAUUCAUUCACUGCUGAUGUGCAGAAAGGGGAAGGAGGAAGAUGUUGGGUAAUGUAAGACUUUCUACAGUGCUGUGCACAUCUCCCAUUGCAUUUGAUCUGCUCCAUAGGUGAGACAAAGGGAGGUUCUGCCUCCUCACUGGCAGGCCUAGUCUACUUCUAAGAAAGCACUGAAAAAAAGUCCCUUUAUAGUACCGAGUUCUUUCUGCUCUCUUUAAAUAGCUUCCCCUAAAGAUUUUGUGUUCUGCUAGUGGAGCUAACCUACCUUUUUAUGUUUCUUGACAACUAACACUUAAAAAUGUUUUGGUAAUCUCUAGUUGUGCAUCACCUUACGUUAUGGAUCUUCUGCCUAAUUUAGCUGACCAACUGGUAGACUUCAGAGAACCAUUUGUUUUAGUCACCAGGAUACAGCAAUAAUAAUGGAAAUAGCGAAAUAAGCCAAAGUCUCUGCAAAUAUCUAGCUCACCAUGUAACUGUGGCUUUUGGGUUUUGGUAAAGUGAUUAGGCAGUCAAGUACUGAUUAUUCAGUCAUCUGGGACUGACAUUUAAUUGAUGUUUAAUAUUGGUGUUAAUUUACAUUAUUAUUCUUUCUAAGUGUUUUUAUUAAAAGGCAGUGUCCUCAUUUGUUUACUUGGGGACACUGAGUUCACUUUUAGUUUUAAAAUUCUUUAGUCCAGGAAAAAUUUAUUAAAAUUGCUCCCUCUCCAUUCUUGCAAUUUUUUAAUUCCAUAAACUGUAAAAGUAUUAUUUUGAAUGUGAAAGAUCUGUUCUAAAGUUAAGAAAUAUUUUCAUGAUACUAUAUACAAGUUAUCCCAGUCAUUUCCUCUUCAUUCAGGCACAUCCUGAAGAAAGCAGUGCCUGGUGUUGCACUUUGGCAGGAAGUAAACCCUUCAAUAAGUGCAAGGUGUGCUCGGGAUUGGAUCUCAAAGGGAUUAAAGUGUUCUGUCCUGGCUCCUAGAUCCAAGUUUCUUUCAGGUGCCAGCUGGGUGCCUCUGCCUACCUUCAGCUGCAGACAACAGGGCAGCUCCAGCAUGUACAGAGACAAGAUUGUGAAUAGAUUUUGCAUCCAUAAAUGUAUCUACAAUUAUUAUACAAUACUUAAGAAUUUCUGUAACUGCCAUUUGGUUGCAGUUGAGCAGCUUUUAGAUAGAAAAUGUGGAUAUUGGUGGUUAUCUCCAUUCAAAAUGUGAUUAUGAUCUGUAUUAGCUCUAGUCAUUAUUGCUGAUUUUAAUAGAUAAAAGAGGUGCAUAAACUAAAGUAGAACAUAGUAUUAGACUUGCCAGGAAAAUCAUUCCCUAGCUUUGUUUUACACGGGAAGAAAACUUGUGCUUUGGAUUCCUUAAAAUCCUCAUAUUCCUCAACUGCAAAUUAGGGAGAGGAUAAUGGGACCUAUUCUUUAUACAACUAAUCUAUCACUUCAUUACUAAAUAGAGAAUCUUACUUUCCAUUGUGUAGUAUGUAGUCAUUAAGUAAUCUUGUGUGACAUACAUGCACAGCUUUUUGUGUGUUUCUUAUUCAGGAAAUAAAGUUCUCUGCACUAAAUUCAAGUUACUUGAAGGUGGAUCCUAGGCAUAGUGUUAGCAUUUGAAUCCAAAUCCUCUAAACACUUGAGUAUCAAGCAUAUUGCUUUAUAAAAGUAGUUAUCUACAUGGAUACACUGGUGUUGUGUAUGUCUGCGUGUGGAUGAUUUGCAUUUAGGGAAAUAGGAGAGAAAGUGCAUAACAUGAAAAGAUUUGUUGGGGGAAGCAUUUAGGAAGGCAAAGGAUUUUCCUUCUAGUUCAUUUGUGUUUGUUGUUGGCUUUUUUGUUCUUGAGUGGAGGGAGAAUAAUGAAGCUGUUCAUUGUUUCUUCAUACUUCAGCAUUUGUUGGAAGAACUUCUGCCUAUUGGUAAAAUGUGAGUUUCUUUUGUUCAUGCCCUUUGUCAGAUCUAAUUGUCUCACCUCAGGAAUAAUUAUUCUAAAGCUGAGAAAAGAACUUAGCAGAAAAAAGCCUUUAAAUAAUGAAUCCUCCCUUUUCCCAUUUUAAACCAAAUCAAUUCAGCAAAAAAGGCCUAUGUUCAAAGCUCAGAAACUUCAAAACACAACAAAUCUUAUCUGAGCACCUUCCAGUGGUGCCAAGCCCCAUUGGAAGUGUUGAGCUCCCAAAAUCUGUCAAAAUCAAUGCCAGCUUCAGACAAACAAAUGAAAUGCACAUGAAAGAGGUCACAAACAGAUUAGUUAGACAGCAUUUUUCAGUCCAAAUUACAAAAAAAAGAGCUAACAAGUUCUGCUUGUGUUCAACUCCAGCAACAUUUCUCCUUAUGGAAACUGCAGUCCUCAGGAUGCAUGAAAAGUUUGCCUUGGAAGGUGUUAGAAAACAGCAUUUAAGAUGCUACUCAGCUUUUCCAGAACAGAGGAGUUAAAAAGUGGAGGAUAUUUGUACAAGUCAGUGAACUCUCUGGACCUCACAUUUUUGGCAACACCUCUGUUUCUUUUGCAAGGGAGCAGAAGUAUAAACAUGGAGUAUUCACUCUGUUUUUUCUGUCUUAGCUGGAAGAAACUGAGCUGCUGCUGCCAGCUCCAGGGAACACUCAUAGUAAUCCAUAUUUUCCUUUUUAUUUUCAAAAUUGCAAGUUGUACAUCAUGAGUGUCAGUCUCAUCCAUGCGGCAGACAAACCCAAAAUCCGUUUUAUGUUCAUCUCCGUAUAUUCAAAGAUCCCAUGGAAGCAGAUGGCCUGUCUACAAAAAGGCCAAGCUGAAUCAGCUACUAGAGUGUAUAUAGAGAGCUGCCAUGUUAAAGAAGUAUAUGCCCACAGCUAAGGUAAUUCACAUCAAUCCUAAAUUAUCACUUCUUGGCUAUCUAGUUCUGGGUGCUGCCUGCCUCUGUAAGGAAUGGAUGUAUUUCAUGACAUUGAAAAUGCUGAAGUUCUGAAGAACAGUAGCUACCUGUCUGUAUAUGCUAUAGGUAUGGAAUCUUUAACAGCACAGAUAAUCUUAUUUUUCAGUAAGUUAAAAAAAAAAAAAAAAUCCUCAACAGGACAAUAAUGUUCUGGCUGAAUCCUGAAUAUUACCAAUUGUUUUCAGUACUCAACUGAGUAGAAACUCAGAUUGUGCAGAGAACAGUUUGCAAAACAAAGUCACCCUGUGCAUCUGAGAAUAAAACCUGCAGUUAAAACAAAAAUACGAGGUCACCAAAAAGACCUGUUUAUUCUUCACAAAACCAUCUCCCAUUGCUGAUAGCACCCCAAAUCUAACCUCAUUCUUAGAAGAUCUGUCAAGAUACUUCUGACCAGUCUGCACCAGUGUAACUUAGAUCUGCACAUACUGUCAAACUUGCUUUUCUCUUAGAUACUGAAUGAAGGCUGCGCUGGUGUGAUUAACAGAAUUCACCAUGGGAACAUGUGGCACCUGGCUGUUGGAAGCAGAAAGCAGACAGUGUUACCCUGAGACGGGAGCCGCUGGUGUGUGCCUGGGAGGCAGUCACAUUCUUCUCAUCCUUCUGGGUCUCUGAAUGCUCUUGCAUUUUAAGCCAGUCUGGGCAGAACAUUAUAACUUAUUUUUGGAAGUAUGUGAAAAAGGCAUUUGUCAAGCCUUUAACUUCAGAUUGGUCAGCACAACUUCCUGAAAAUUCAGGUGGUGUUUAGCCUUUAUUCUGUGCCAAGCCUGAGCUGCCUACAGAGGAGAACUACACCACACUUACAGCAACUACACUUAAACUGUUGUGUUCUAGAUGGAAUCUCAAGUGUUUACUAAUCAUACAAGCCUUUCACAGUUUCAUGUAUAAAUACCUUAAGUCUGGCCCUCUCCUACCACAGUGAAGGAAAUCCAAGCGGAAGCCCUGGAGCAAGUUCUUGCGUGCCCAUGAUACACUGCAGCCAUUGAUCAAGCAAAGACUUCUAAAGUCAUUUUUCAAAUAUCAAAGAAUGACAGCAAAGAGCUCUAAGAACAGAAGUAAGAAUAUGUAAGACAUUUUACAGCCUUGCCUUUACAAUACACUCAGCGUAUAUGCUGGUAGAUUGUGUGAAAAAGUAUUCUGUACUCCAUCAGUUACUAGCAUUGGGUAAAUCAAGUCUAGAAUGAAAAGCUCAGAAUAAAUACACAUAUAUGCAAUUCAAACAGACCAUACUCAUUGCAAUCAAACAUUGAAGUAACAUGCUCAAUGCAAAUAACUUUUUAAAAAACAAGAUGGACUUAAGUGGAAGAAAGAAUUUUCCUGACAUUUUCCUCUCUGAAAACCAAGGGACUAGGAGGCAGCAGCAGGGCUAUAGAGUGGGGGGGAGAAGCCACUGCUCCCAUGUGUGAGGUGUGGGUGCCCUGAGCAGCUCCUGGCAAGAGCUUGCAGCAAAGAAUGGGGAAUGAAAAAAAUCCAUGGGUGCGGGUGUGGCUUUCCAACCAGCUAGUAAAGUACAGCUCCACACCAAAUACCAGUUUUGAGAGAAUUCUUCUAACUAGUAUUGAUUUAACUCAUUUUUCACAGUAGCCAAGUCACAACAGUAGCUCAUUGCUCAUUCAGUUUCUGCUUAUGCUUCCCCUCCACUUCAUCAUCUAUUAGACACUUUCCUCAAAGUGAAGCUGGCAAAAAUUAAGUGUUUGGACUUCAAAGCCCCUUUCUUGAUCCUCUCUAUUCAUCAGCCUUAUUUUUGUAGCUAUUCAUAGACCUGGUUGAUGUUGCAGUUCCAAAUACAAGAAUUUAAAAUAUAUCGUAAGAGACUGUUGGCAAAUUAUUGUAUCACACUUAAAUUUCAAAAGGCCUCAAAGAUCCACGUAAUUAAAAAUUACCCAUAAUAUGGGCAAAGCUAGAAAACAGCAGUUGUUGUGGAUCAGAAAAGUGACUCUUUUCAAUUAAAUGUGAAGAGAGCACUAUUGAUGAAAGAUAUGACUGCCUUGUUUGUAGAAUUCAAGCUCUUAUGAACUACUCAGUGAAUAUUUGCAAUGCAAGUCCAAGACUUCAAACCACUCUCUCUAGCAGACGAGAGGAAUGCCACCAACAGUUUCACAUACUCUUAACUUCUUCGUGCUGUCCAGCAACUUACUCAGGGAAAAUUAGAAAGAAUGUGUUCAGUAACUCAUUUUCCACAGACUUCUUUCCCCUUC